RNAcentral lists this ribosomal RNA (493 nucleotides) under uncultured bacterium. RNAcentral's name for it is "bacterial SSU rRNA". It matches the Rfam family "Bacterial small subunit ribosomal RNA", at positions 28 to 508 of the family's 1533-position model. The record is from RNAcentral.
GACGAACGCUGGCGGCGCGCUUAACACAUGCAAGUCGAGCGAUAACCAUGGCUUCGGCUAUGGGGAGAGCGGCGAACGGGUGAGUAACACGUGAGUGAUCUGCCCUUGACACCGGGAUAGCCCGGGGAAACCCGGAUUAAUACCGGAUGGCCUGUCGAGCCUACGGGCUCGCUAGAAAAGAUGGCUUCGGCUUUCGGUCGAGGAGGAGCUUGCGGCGGAUUAGCUUGUUGGUGAGGUAACGGCUCACCAAGGCGACGAUCCGUAGCUGGUCUGAGAGGACGAUCAGCCACACUGGGACUGAGACACGGCCCAGACUCCUACGGGAGGCAGCAGUGGGGAAUCUUGCGCAAUGGGCGAAAGCCUGACGCAGCGACGCCGCGUGAGGGAAGAAGGCCUUCGGGUUGUAAACCUCUUUCAGGAGGGACGAAGCUACUCGGGUUAAUACCCCAGAGGGUGACGGUACCUCCAGAAGAAGCCCCGGCUAACUACGUGC